AUAUGGAGGGGGCUAGCGUUGUUCGGAAUUACUGGGCGUAAAGCGCGUGUAGGCGGAUCGUUAAGUCAGGGGUGAAAGCCCGGAGCUCAACUCCGGAAUUGCCCUUGAUACUGGCGAUCUAGAGGCCGGGAGAGGUGAGCGGAAUUCCCAGUGUAGAGGUGAAAUUCGUAGAUAUUGGGAGGAACACCAGUGGCGAAGGCGGCUCACUGGCCCGGUUCUGACGCUGAGACGCGAAAGCGUGGGGAGCAAACAGGAUUAGAUACCCUAGUAGUCC
This 274-nucleotide ribosomal RNA is filed under the name uncultured bacterium. RNAcentral's name for it is "partial 16S ribosomal RNA". It matches the Rfam family "Bacterial small subunit ribosomal RNA", at positions 523 to 796 of the family's 1533-position model. The record is from RNAcentral.